GAUUAACGCUAGCGGCAGGCAUAAUACAUGCAAGUUGAACGUGAUCAAUUGUAGCAAUAUGAUUGUGAAAGUGGCGCACGGGUGCGUAACGCGUAUGCAACCUGCCUCCAACCGGGGGAAUAGCCCCUCGAAAGAGGGAUUAAUACCGCAUAACAUAACCGGACGGCAUCGCCUGGUUAUCAAAAUCAAGGUGGUUGGAGAUGGGGCAUGCGUGACAUUAGCUAGUUGGUGAGGUAACGGCUCACCAAGGCAACGAUGUCUAGGGGGUCUGAGAGGAUGUCCCCCACA
RNAcentral lists this ribosomal RNA (288 nucleotides) under uncultured bacterium. RNAcentral's name for it is "partial 16S ribosomal RNA". It matches the Rfam family "Bacterial small subunit ribosomal RNA", at positions 28 to 312 of the family's 1533-position model. The record is from RNAcentral.